RNAcentral lists this ribosomal RNA (206 nucleotides) under Pichia kudriavzevii. Its description in RNAcentral is "partial 26S ribosomal RNA". It matches the Rfam family "Eukaryotic large subunit ribosomal RNA", at positions 72 to 282 of the family's 3401-position model. The record is from RNAcentral. Lineage: Eukaryota; Fungi; Ascomycota; Pichiomycetes; Pichiales; Pichiaceae.
GGGUUGCCUCAGUAGCGGCGAGUGAAGCGGCAAGAGCUCAGAUUUGAAAUCGUGCUUUGCGGCACGAGUUGUAGAUUGCAGGUUGGAGUCUGUGUGGAAGGCGGUGUCCAAGUCCCUUGGAACAGGGCGCCCAGGAGGGUGAGAGCCCCGUGGGAUGCCGGCGGAAGCAGUGAGGCCCUUCUGACGAGUCGAGUUGUUUGGGAAUA